Molecule: unclassified non-coding RNA, 580 nt
Filed under: Hevea brasiliensis (rubber tree)
Lineage: Eukaryota; Viridiplantae; Streptophyta; Magnoliopsida; Malpighiales; Euphorbiaceae
Source: RNAcentral
GCCACAGAGGUGCAAAAAUGAUCCUCCAUGAUCAAAACAAAACCACCAAACUAUUAGUUAAUAAUUUAAAAGAUCAUCAGUUGAAACCAGUCGGUGUGCAGAAUACAGCUAGUAAUUCCAUUCACUAGAAAAAAGCAUGUUGUCAACAUUGAUUACAACAGAAAACAUUUUGCAAGAAAAAUAAUACAUUUUCUUGUUUUUCACGCAGCUAGCCUACAAGGACAUGGCUAUUAAAAAUAAAUUUUUGAGAAAAAAAAGGAGAUACAAUAUUUGUUCAUCUGUGAAAGUUGUAUGCAAUGCAGUGCAGAUUAACCUAAACGACUAAACUUAAAUCAUAACUGUAGGAGAAAAAUCUGUAUUCAUAUUCCUAAUUCCAAUUCAAUAAGUACCAUAGACAAUCAAGUUUCUACUCUCCCUACAAAAAUUUGUAAUGGACAGAUGUAAAACUGCAUCCAUGAGGUCUUUGAAAGAUUGGCGCUAAAUUUCUAUAGAGAUGCCGCAUAACAGUUCCAUGGCAAUGGAAUCGUGAGUACAUUGCGUUCAGUUCAAUACAACCAAGUGUGUGUGUGUGUGUGUGUGU